CUGAGUCCUGGGCUUGUUUUAAGUUGCCUGUGAUUGUUGGAUAGAGCACAGGCAGCUAAAGCAAGUCUGGGAAGCUG
This is a non-coding RNA of Xenopus laevis (African clawed frog), 77 nucleotides long. NCBI's taxonomy places the organism in Eukaryota, Metazoa, Chordata, Amphibia, Anura, Pipidae. The record is from Rfam.